Molecule: ribosomal RNA, 460 nt
Filed under: uncultured bacterium
Lineage: Bacteria
Description: partial 16S ribosomal RNA
Rfam family: Bacterial small subunit ribosomal RNA
Source: RNAcentral
CCUACGGGAGGCAGCAGUGAGGAAUAUUGGUCAAUGGGCGGAAGCCUGAACCAGCCAAGCCGCGUGAGGGAUGAAGGUUCUAUGGAUCGUAAACCUCUUUUAUAAGGGAAUAAAGGGCGGGACGUGUCCCGUUUUGUAUGUACCUUAUGAAUAAGGAUCGGCUAACUCCGUGCCAGCAGCCGCGGUAAUACGGAGGAUCCGAGCGUUAUCCGGAUUUAUUGGGUUUAAAGGGUGCGUAGGGGGCCCGUUAAGUCAGCGGUGAAAGGCUGUGGCUCAACCCUAGGAUCGCCGUUGAAACUGGCAGGCUUGAGUAUGUUUGAGGUAGGCGGAAUGCGCGGUGUAGCGGUGAAAUGCUUAGAUAUCGCGCAGAACUCCGAUUGCGAAGGCAGCCUGCCGAGCCCUGACUGACGCUGAUGCACGAAAGCGUGGGGAUCAAACAGGAUUAGAUACCCCUGUAGUC